GCAAGUCGAGCGGAAACGAUCCUAGCUUGCUAGGAGGCGUCGAGCGGCGGACGGGUGAGUAACGCGUGAGAAUCUAGCCAUGAGUGGGGGACAACCCGGGGAAACUCGGGCUAAUACCGCAUACGCCCUACGGGGUAAAGCAGGGGACCUUCGGGCCUUGCGCUGAUGGAUGAGCUCGCGUCGGAUUAGCUUGUUGGUGAGGUAAAGGCUCACCAAGGCGACGAUCCGUAGCUGGUCUGAGAGGAUGAUCAGCCACACCGGGACUGAGACACGGCCCGGACUCCUACGGGAGGCAGCAGUGGGGAAUCUUGGACGAUGGGGGCAACCCUGAUCCAGCCAUGCCGCGUGUGUGAAGAAGGCCUUCGGGUUGUAAAGCACUUUCAGCAGGGAGGAAGGCUUACCCCUAAUACGGGUGAGUACUUGACGUUACCUGCAGAAGAAGCACCGGCUAAUUUCGUGCCAGCAGCCGCGGUAAUACGAAAGGUGCAAGCGUUAAUCGGAAUUACUGGGCGUAAAGCGCGCGUAGGCGGUGUGUUAAGUCGGAUGUGAAAGCCCAGGGCUCAACCUUGGAAUUGCAUCCGAUACUGGCACGCUAGAGUGCAGUAGAGGGAGGUGGAAUUUCCGGUGUAGCGGUGAAAUGCGUAGAGAUCGGAAGGAACACCAGUGGCGAAGGCGGCCUCCUGGACUGACACUGACGCUGAGGUGCGAAAGCGUGGGGAGCAGACAGGAUUAGAUACCCUGGUAGUCCACGCUGUAAACGAUGUCUACUAGCCGUCGGGGUCCUUAGUGACUUUGGUGG
Molecule: ribosomal RNA, 799 nt
Filed under: uncultured marine bacterium
Lineage: Bacteria
Description: bacterial SSU rRNA
Rfam family: Bacterial small subunit ribosomal RNA
Source: RNAcentral